RNAcentral lists this long non-coding RNA (544 nucleotides) under Monodelphis domestica (gray short-tailed opossum). Its description in RNAcentral is "lncRNA (ENSMODG00000033984.2)". The record is from RNAcentral. Lineage: Eukaryota; Metazoa; Chordata; Mammalia; Didelphimorphia; Didelphidae.
UGUGACUCUCUAGAACAUGGCAACCAUGUAAUCUUCCUAUCUGGAGCAGCACCGACCCAUUUUCCUGAUGAGAAACUGUGUUUAGCAUGUGGCUCUCUAGAACUUGGCAACCAUGUAAUCUUCCUAUCUGGAGCAGCACCGACCCGUUUUCCUGAUGAGAAACUGUGUUUAGGAUGUGACUCUCUAGAACAUGGCAACCAUGUAAUCUUCCUAACUGGAGCAGCACCGACCCGUUUUCCUGAUGAGAAACUGUGUUUAGCAUGUGGCUCUCUAGAACUUGGCAACCAUGUAAUCUUCCUAUCUGGAGCAGCACCGAACAAUUUUCCUGAAGAGAAACUGUGUUUAGCAUGUGGCUCUCUAGAACUUGGCAACCAUGUAAUCUUCCUAUCUGGAGCAGCACCGAACAAUUUUCCUGAAUAGAAACUGUGUUUAGCAUGUGGCUCUCUAGAACUUGGCAACCAUGUAAUCUUCCUAUCUGGAGCAGCACAGACCCGUUUUCCUGAUGAGAAACUGUGGUGAGUAUCAUUUAUAUCGCGAACAACAG